RNAcentral lists this ribosomal RNA (405 nucleotides) under uncultured bacterium. RNAcentral describes it as "partial 16S ribosomal RNA". It matches the Rfam family "Bacterial small subunit ribosomal RNA", at positions 30 to 526 of the family's 1533-position model. The record is from RNAcentral.
AUUGAACGCUGGCGGCAGGCUUAACACAUGCAAGUCGAACGAGUGGCGGACGGGUGAGUAAUGCUUGGGAAUCUAGCUUAUGGAGGGGGAUAACUACGGGAAACUGUAGCUAAUACCGCGUAUUAUAGGAUGAGCCCAAGGGGGAUUAGGUAGUUGGUGAGGUAAAGGCUCACCAAGCCGACGAUCUCUAGCUGGUCUGAGAGGCUGACAAGCCACACCUGGAAUUGGACACGGCCCAGCCUCCCACGGGAGGCAGCAGUGGGGAAUAUUGCGCAAAGGGGGCAACCUGGCGCAGCCAUGCCGCGUGAAUGAAGAAGGCCUUCGGGUUGGAAAGUGCUUUCGGUAGCGAGACGUUAACUACAGAAGAAGCACCGGCUAACUCCGGGCCAACAGCCGCGGUAAUAC